Molecule: ribosomal RNA, 1790 nt
Filed under: Zymoseptoria ardabiliae
Lineage: Eukaryota; Fungi; Ascomycota; Dothideomycetes; Mycosphaerellales; Mycosphaerellaceae
Description: SSU rRNA
Rfam family: Eukaryotic small subunit ribosomal RNA
Source: RNAcentral
CCUAGUUAAUUCUACUAGUAGUUAUAUACUUAUCUUAAAGAUUAAGCUAUAUAUAUCUAAGUAUAAGUAACUAUACGGUAAAACUACGAAUAGCUUAUUAAAUUAGUUAUCGUUUAUUUAAUAGUACCUUACUAUAUAGAUAACCGUAGUAAUUCUAGAGCUAAUAUAUACUAAAAACCUCGACUUCGGAAGGGGUAUAUUUAUUAGAUAAAAAACUAAUGCCCUUCGGGGCUCCUUAGUAAAUUAUAAUAACUUUACGAAUUAUAUAGCCUUACGCCGGCGAUAGUUUAUUUAAAUUUCUACCCUAUUAACUUUCGAUAGUAGGAUAGAGGCCUACUAUAGUUUUAACGGGUAACGGGGAAUUAGGGUUCGACUCCGGAGAGGGAGCCUAAGAAACGGCUACUAUAUCUAAGGAAGGUAGUAGGCGCGUAAAUUACCUAAUCCCGAUACGGGGAGGUAGUAAUAAUAAAUACUAAUAUAGAGCUCUUUUAGGUCUUAUAAUUAGAAUAAGUAUAAUUUAAAUCCCUUAACGAGGAACAAUUAGAGGGUAAGUCUAGUACUAGUAGCCGCGGUAAUUCUAGCUCUAAUAGCGUAUAUUAAAGUUAUUAUAGUUAAAAAGCUCGUAGUUAAACCUUAGGCCUAGCUAGCCGGUCCGCCUUACCGCGUAUACUAGUCCGGCCGGGCCUUUCCUUCUAGGGAGCUAUAUACCCUUUACUAGGCGUACUAGGGAACUAGGACUUUUACUUUAAAAAAAUUAGAGUAUUUAAAGUAGGCCUUUACUCGAAUACAUUAGUAUAGAAUAAUAGAAUAGGACGUAUAGUUCUAUUUUGUUAGUUUCUAGGACCGCCGUAAUAAUUAAUAGGGAUAGUCGGGGGCAUCCGUAUUUAAUUAUUAGAGGUAAAAUUCUUAGAUUUAUUAAAGACGAACUACUACGAAAGCAUUUACUAAGGAUGUUUUUAUUAAUUAGUAAACGAAAGUUAGGGGAUCGAAGACGAUUAGAUACCGUCGUAGUCUUAACUAUAAACUAUACCGACUAGGGAUCGGUAGAUAUUAUCUUUUUAACUCUAUUAGUACCUUACGAGAAAUUAAAGUUUUUAGGUUCUAGGAGGAGUAUAGUCGUAAGGCUAAAACUUAAAGAAAUUAACGGAAGGGCACUACUAGGCGUAGAGCCUACGGCUUAAUUUAACUUAAUACGGGGAAACUUACUAUAUCUAGAUAUAAGUAGGAUUAAUAGAUUAAGAGCUCUUUCUUAAUUUUGUAGGUAGUAGUAUAUAGCCGUUCUUAGUUAGUAGAGUAAUUUGUCUACUUAAUUACGAUAACGAACGAGACCUUAACCUACUAAAUAGCUAGGCCCGCUUUAGCGGGUCGCCGGCUUCUUAGAGGGACUAUCGGCUUAAGCCGAUAGAAGUUUAAGGUAAUAAUAGGUCUAUAAUACCCUUAGAUGUUCUAGGCCGUACGCGCGCUAUACUAACGGAGCUAACGAGUUUAUUACCUUAGCCGGAAGGUCUAGGUAAUCUUAUUAAACUCCGUCGUACUAGGGAUAGAGUAUUAUAAUUAUUACUCUUUAACGAGGAAUGCCUAGUAAGCGUAUAUUAUUAGUAUACGUUAAUUAUAUCCCUACCCUUUAUAUAUACCGCCCGUUACUACUACCGAUUAAAUAGCUUAGUAAGGCCUUUAGACUAGCUUAGGGAGGUCGGUAACGACUACCUAGAGCCGGAAAGUUAGUUAAACUCGGUUAUUUAGAGGAAUUAAAAGUCGUAAUAAGGUCUCCGUAGGUAAACCUACGGAGG